Molecule: RNA transcript, 5109 nt
Organism: Etheostoma spectabile (orangethroat darter)
Lineage: Eukaryota; Metazoa; Chordata; Actinopteri; Perciformes; Percidae
Gene: prkaa2
Gene name: protein kinase, AMP-activated, alpha 2 catalytic subunit
Exons: 11
Source: RefSeq, a predicted model, not a curated record
CAGUUUAUUUCUGCUAGAGCCUAACAGUGCCUGCCUACCAUACACCUGUGACAGUGCGAGUUUAACGGGCUCGAGUCUUCGCUGCUUUUUCCCUUCCCUCGCAGUGGACAGAACAAGUCAAGUGCCCCGCCCCUCCGCGAGCUCCAUAGGCGGGCAGGCAGCACACCCGCCGCACCGAGCGAGCCCAACCGUCGGUAACGGAGAAGAUGGCAGAGCGGCAACAGCAGAAAAACGAAGGCAGGGUAAAAAUUGGCCAUUAUGUGCUCGGCGACACGCUCGGAGUGGGAACAUUCGGCAAAGUGAAGAUUGGCGAGCAUCAAUUGACAGGCCAUAAAGUGGCCGUAAAGAUCCUAAACAGACAGAAGAUCCGCAGUCUCGAUGUUGUCGGGAAGAUCAAACGAGAGAUCCAGAACCUCAAACUGUUCAGACACCCACAUAUUAUCAAGCUGUACCAGGUGAUUAGUACACCCACGGAUUUCUUCAUGGUCAUGGAGUAUGUGUCUGGGGGUGAGCUGUUUGACUACAUCUGCAAACAUGGACGGGUGGAAGACACAGAAGCUCGCCGUCUUUUCCAGCAGAUUAUUUCAGCUGUAGACUACUGCCACAGGCACAUGGUGGUCCACAGAGACCUCAAACCUGAGAACGUCCUGCUGGAUGCCAGCAAGAACGCCAAGAUAGCCGACUUCGGUCUGUCAAACAUGAUGUCAGAUGGAGAGUUUCUACGGACGAGCUGUGGCUCACCCAACUAUGCUGCUCCAGAGGUCAUCUCAGGAAGGCUCUAUGCAGGCCCAGAGGUGGACAUCUGGAGUUGUGGCGUGAUCCUGUACGCCCUGCUGUGCGGCACUCUGCCCUUUGAUGACGAGCACGUCCCCACGCUGUUUAAGAAGAUCAGAGGAGGCGUCUUCUACAUGCCAGAGUACCUGCCUCGCUCGGUGGCCUCGCUGCUCACACUCAUGCUACAAGUGGACCCUUUGAAGAGGGCCACCAUCAAAGACAUCAGGGAAGAUGAGUGGUUUAAGCAGGACCUGCCAGGCUACCUGUUCCCUGAGGACCCGUCCUACGAUGCUUCAGUCCUGGACGAGGAGGCCGUCAAGGAAGUGUGUGAGAAGUUUGAAUGCACUGAAUCGGAGGUUGUGUCAAGCCUUUACAGCGGGGAUCCACAGGAUCAGCUGGCUGUAGCCUAUCACCUCAUAAUAGACAACCGUCGCAUCAUGACCCAGGCCAGCGAGUUCUACCUGGCCUCCAGUCCUCCCCAGGGCUCCUUCAUAGAAGAGGGCAUGCCGCUGCCCCCCGGGGUCAAACCCCACCCAGAGAGGAUGCCUCCGCUCCUGGCUGACAGCCCCAAGUCUCGUUGUCCUCUGGAUGCUCUCAACACCACCCGGCCCAAACCUCUGGCAGUGAAGAAGUCCAAGUGGCACCUGGGUAUCAGGAGUCAGAGCAGGCCCUAUGACAUCAUGGCUGAAGUGUACAGGGCUAUGAGACAACUUAGCUUUGACUGGAAGGUGGUGAACCCGUAUCACCUGCGAGUGCGGAGGAAGAAUCCGGUGACGGGAACUUUGGUGAAAAUGAGCCUGCAGCUGUACCAGGUGGACAGCAGGUCCUACCUCCUCGACUUCAAGAGCAUCGAUGAUGACAUCAUGGAGGCGGUGGGCUUUAAGUCGGGGUCGUCCACUCCCCAGCGAUCGGGCUCCACAGCCGGUCUCCACAGACCCAGACUGAGCAUCGACUCGGCCAGUCCGGCGUUUGAUCUGCCCCAGCUCAGCUCCUCCCUCCCGGGGUCCCUGUCCGGUAGCUCCCCUCUAAUCUCCCCCCGCCAGGGAUCACACACCAUGGACUUCUUCGAAAUGUGUGCCAGUCUGAUCACCACCCUGGCGCGCUGAGACCCAUCCACUCCUGACCUCGCUGUAACUGGGUGUCGGUGGGGUUUUUAGGCCAAUUGCUGAUCUGGGAUGUAGGGAGAGUAGAUGAGUCUGGAGCGACUUCCUCUCUCUGUCUCUCCAUCUCUGUUCCAGUUGUAUUGGACUGUAAGGCUGAAAAGCUCACUGUCACCUCAGAUUAAGGAGGAAUAGAGAGGAAUACCUUCUUUUUUUUUUUAGAAAGUCAGAUUAAUAGCCUUUUUUCUUCUUCUUUUGACACAGCCUUUGGGUCAGAAUGGGGAGUUUAAAGUGAUCCUGGGACCGGAUUCUGUGAACUAGUAAAGGCCAGCAAAGUGAGCGGCAGCAGGUCACAGCUCUCAGUCCCUUCUCCCACAAAUAUCUUCAGUCUAUUAUCAACUGCUGAAAUGCCAUCGCCACCAUAACACUUAAUGAUGGGAAAUCCUGCUGAGUAUGCCCCAGACACUGAUCAGAGGUCAGUUUUGCUUCUUGUCUUAUAUUUUCCACAAGGUGCUGGUUGGUGUUCUGAGCGAUCGGAUUUAAUUUCAGGUUCAUAUGAUAUGGUUUGUAAAGAAACUGUUGAUGUAUAUUAUAUUUAUAUUACAAUCAUAUUGUGUAGUUGAAAAAGUUAGCUAACGUAUACCAAAUAACACUAUGCACCAUAGAAGGUGAUUAUUAUUUAGAUAUCAGAUCCAUAUUUAUUUUUGAGAAAUGUUUUUUAGGCACUGUAGUUGUAUUGUUUAAGCACUGCAUCAACGUAGAGUUUUAACCUGAUUUUGAAUAGAUUGUAGAAGAUUAAUGAACCCAGAGAGGCAGAAGGAUAGUACGGUCGUCUGUUAGGCUACAGGAACGUCUAUAUGUCUGUGUGUUUGUUAUAACACUAAUAACGUCGGCAAAAUACCCCCCCCCCCCACACCUUCUGUCUCUCUCUCUCCACACCCACACACACUCACCCACACACACACACACACAGAGUCCUGAGCCCGGCUGAAUGUCACCGUGCCCGGUCCGUUUCUGGUGGUUGAUUAAAGCAGAUAUGUGCUGAUCACCUCUCAUAACGGGCCGGAUGGGUAGCGCACUGCCACGAGUCCAUGAGGUAACUGUCUGAUUACGCAACAUUUUAAUUGAGAUAUUUCGUGACUAAAUUCUAAAUCUGCCACGUUCUGUCAGGUUAAUAUAAUAGUACAAUGUCUUCCUCUGAUGUAAAAGUACACUGUAAGUCAGUAGUAGGCAAGACCGUGGAGUUGCAUAUUAAGCGGUUUGGGGGUCCUUCUGUAAGUCACUUAGGUACAAUUUGGUUUUGGAGGAUUCUACGAGCAACAAUACCACAGGCCAAGCAAUCCAAACAGGCACAGAUAUACAACGUCUCACAGGAGUUUCUCUGCCUUGAUGUAGUUCAAAGAUGCUGUGCGUACCGUAAAUAUAUCUGCUAUUACUUUUCCCACACAACCAGCAUUUUAUGCAGUCAAUAACUGUCAGAAAUAUGCAACACACACAAAUCUGCAGACUUCAGUGUAGUCCUAAAGUGACAAGUUGAGCAACUGUUGCUGCUCGCUCAUGCAUGUACAGAAUGUAAUUUAAAAGCAAGCAGGCCCGUGAUAUCAGGAGGACAGACAUGGCAGUCAGUCACAUGGGCAGUAGCUGAAAAAGACAGAAGCCCUGUGCCGUUUGGAAUGGAGAGCGUGGGGAUUUUUUUUUUUUUUGCACUGAGAAAUGAGAAAAAUGUCCGUCAGAAAUUAGAGCCUAAUGUGAGGUCUUGAGUUCGAUUGUCUGAGCAAAUCUCAAUACUUACUUGAUAAAUUACUUCAACUGUCAAUCAGUUUUCAAUUUCAUAUUAGCAGUAAUAAACCUAACCAGCCCUGCUGUGUGCGUGUAUGUGAAGAGAUAAUGAGGUGAUGAUGAUAAUUAAUAAAAGAGGAAGAUGACUAAUCCAUGUAAGAAGGUGUGUAUUUGCUGCAGGACGUUAUAAGCCACAGAAACCUUUCUCCAGUUGCCUUAUGGAAUGCAACACAGUCAUUGUGUGCAUACGCUUCAAGAGGGUGUGUGCAUGUGCCAGUGUGUGUGUGUGUGAUCAGCUGGCUUCGGACGGGAGAGCAGGAAACCACAACAGAAGGCAAAACCAAAAAGAUAGGCUGGCAAACGAGACUUAGAGUAGUGAAAAGUAAUAAGGGAGACAGACUCACGACCAGCCGGGACCCCGCCAUGACAGUGAUUCUUGUGUUGUUAACUGAGUGCUUUGUUGGACCUCCAACCAUUUAAUGUAGGCGUAGGUUCGACUUUGUUACUCUACUUGUUUUAAAUCAUUAUCGUCUGCAUCAAGUCUGAAAUGUCAUUUUUGCCUUACGAGAGCAUUGGGAAAGCUUUUUGUUGAAACAGUGGAAGCCACAUUCUUUGUUACUCUGCUGAAAACCCUUUAAACAUGUAUUCUGUUUCCUGUGUGGUGUGACGUCGCCUACGCCACUGAAUAUACUCCGACGACAGGGAGAAACUGCUCCCUGCAGCAGAACACAUGCCACUGUACACACAGCUAUGUUGACCUCUACACUACAUUACACUCUUCUGCUGUGCCUGAAAUGACUUGUCCUCUGCACAGUGAGCUAAUUUGGUCACAUCAGGAUCACAUCUGGCCCAUUAUGCAUCCAUCUCUGAUUCUGCUCCUCAUGACAACCACAUGAAAACUGUUGAUCAACAAAGUGCACUUUCUUGGAGAGGUCAUGGGUCAAAUUUAAAAACUCCUGAUAUAACCAGUAUUUACUGUUACAUGUAGUACUGUGCUAUUCCAACUGUAUGCAACUACCAGUGGCAUGUUAGUCAUGUAAACUCUAAUCUGUGUUCAGGGCUGGCAAACACAUGCCGGGGGGUGGGGGGGGGGGGGGACGUAUUCAAAUAAAAUACUGUGUCGUACCAAAGCGAGUAUCUCAACAGCAAGGCUGUACUCUGUUUAUCUGUGGUGGGGCUCUUGUGAUUAAUGUAACCUUAAAUACCCCUGUGUAUGUCAUGUAUGGGGUGAGUUGUGUGGGCAACACAAGGGUCAUCAAUUUAAUACUGCUGGGUGUGUGGUGUGUGUGUGUGUGUGUGUGUGUGUGUGUGUGUGUGUGUGUGCGUGUGCCAAGGUGUGUUUUAACUGUCUCUGUGUGUCUGUUUGGGGUUUGGAAUUUUGUCGUUGUGCACUGCAUGAUACUGCUGUUAUGAUUUGCACUUUAAUGAGUAUUUAUUGAAAAACAAUAAACAAAAC